RNAcentral lists this ribosomal RNA (451 nucleotides) under uncultured bacterium. RNAcentral's name for it is "partial 16S ribosomal RNA". It matches the Rfam family "Bacterial small subunit ribosomal RNA", at positions 29 to 523 of the family's 1533-position model. The record is from RNAcentral.
AGCGAACGCUGGCGGCAGGCUUAACACAUGCAAGUCGAGCGGGCGUAGCAAUACGUCAGCGGCAGACGGGUGAGUAACGCGUGGGAACGUACCUUUUGGUUCGGAACAACACAGGGAAACUUGUGCUAAUACCGGAUAAGCCCUUACGGGGAAAGAUUUAUCGCCGAAAGAUCGGCCCGAGUCUGAUUAGCUAGUUGGUAGGGUAAUGGCCUAGCAAGGCGACGAUCAGUAGCUGGUCUGAGAGGAUGAUCAGCCACAUUGGGACUGAGACACGGCCCAAACUCCUACGGGAGGCAGCAGUGGGGAAUAUUGGACAAUGGGGGCAACCCUGAUCCAGCCAUGCCGCGUGAGUGAUGAAGGCCCUAGGGUUGUAAAGCUCUUUUGUGCGGGAAGAUAAUGACGGUACCGCAAGAAUAAGCCCCGGCUAACUUCGUGCCAGCCGCCGCAGUAA